RNAcentral lists this long non-coding RNA (6454 nucleotides) under Jatropha curcas. Its description in RNAcentral is "long non-coding RNA (JCUR_LNC002547)". Lineage: Eukaryota; Viridiplantae; Streptophyta; Magnoliopsida; Malpighiales; Euphorbiaceae. The record is from RNAcentral.
AUAUUGCAAUGCACCCAAAUAAACAAACAAACAGACAAACCUUCUACAAAGUUGGUUUUCUUAAUAGUUCCAGCACCUCCAUCUCCCUGAAGAAUAUCGAUGCUUUUGAUGAACUGGUGGAGAAUUUUAGGGGCAUAGACAUGAGCUUCAAAGAGUAAAGCCUUGAACAACUUGGCUGGGGGAACUGCAGUAGCAAUCUCAGUCUGAGUAGUAACAACAGCCAUGAUCUUUGAAGAAUAUAAAAAUAACGAGUAAGGUAAUGUAUGUUUGGUGGGUGUGGGGAAAUGCAAGAGCUAAGGAAGGUAUUUAUAGAUAGAGACAUCAAAGAAUUCGCACUCGCUCGCACUUAAAAGUCAAAUUUGCUGGCUAUAACUGUAGAUGCAAAUUCUAUCUUGAUUUGUUCUUGUUUGGCAUCUUUACAUUGGAGAUCUCCUGGCUCUGCAUGGUUUCUAUUGUCCAAGUGUAAUGGCGGGAGACAGAAAGUAUUCAAUUGAGGAUCAUGAUGAUAUUAAUUAUUAUUAUUAUUAUUAUUAUUAUUACUGUUAUUGGUUCACACAUUCUAGAUAUAGAAAUUAAGGUUCUUGGUCGGAGUUUUAAUAAUGUUGUUCAAAUACUUUUCUAGAUGGUCCAUUUUGACGUUCAUAUAUGUAUAUGAUGAAGUAGUAGUACUAUAUACUGUUACCUGUGUACACCUGGUUUGCAAUGGGUGAAAGAAACUUUAAUAAACUACGGCGAGCUAAAUGCUCAGAGGUUUAUCUCUCCUUUUUGUAAAUAAAAAACCAAAAAAAAAAAAAAAAUGCUAUGAUAAGAUAAAAAGUAUGGUCGGGUAAUGGUAUUUUUUUUAUAAUGUUUAAUAAUUUUGUAUUGUUUAAUUAUUCUUAGAAGAUAAUAUUAAUAUUUCGUUUGUUUCUGUAAAAUAACUUGUAAAAAAUAUUUUCCAAAUGAUUGAUUUUUUAUUGUUUGGUUGUAAUAUUUAAAAUUAGUUAAAAAUAUUAAUUAAAUUCUUUUUCUCAUAAGACCAUAAAAAUAUUAAUAAUAAUAGAAAUUUUAUAAUUUUAAAAUUUUAUUGUUAAAUAUGAGAAGAAUGAAAAAAAAAAUGUAAAUUAUGAAAGCUGCCGGUGGCCAGCGAUGGUGGUCGGUGGUAAAUGGUGACUGAUAGUAAUGACUAUGAUGAUUAAUAAAUUACAAAAAAUGUGGAUUUAUAAGGUUUAUCAACGUCCGGAAAAUGUUUUAUUAUCUCGAAAUUGAGAAGUUGUUUUCCUUAAAAAAUGACUUAUUUUUUUUUAAUCAGAAAAAUAUUUUCCGUUGAUUUAUUUUACUGAACGCCCCAAACAACAGAAAAUUGUGAAAAAUAUUUUUCUGCACGUUAUUUUACGGUAAUAAACGGAGGCUAAAUAUGAAUAAAUAUCUUUUUUCAUGAAAGUUUUUGUUUUAAAUAUAUAAAUUGAUUAAAAUUAUUUUUUAAUGAAAUAAUAUAGAUAAUAUAAAAAAUUAAAACUUUUAAGUCUUUUCAACAUUCCACUUUAGUGGGUUGAAAAUUUGAUGAUUUUGAGAUAUUUUAACCUAAAGCAAAAAUAAAAUAAAAUAAAAUAAAAAGCUGAGUUGAAAAUUUUUUAAUCUCCUUUCUUAAGAUUUCUUACAUGGGCCUUUGCCUAGUUAUAUAUGUAAAAAUAAAUUCUCAUUUCUCAAACACACUUAUUAAAUUUAAAGCAAACCAAAAAAUCACCUGAUUAGCUAAAUUAUACUUUAUUUUGAUAAUAUUUAUCUUGGAAAGAUAUUCACUUUCACGAGUAUUUAUAUAAUUUCUGAAAAUAAUUUUAAAAAUAAAAUUUUAAAUUCCAAAAUACUAACAACACGUUACCAUAUUAAAAGAAAAUAUAAUAAAUUGGUAUUUUAAUUUAAUUUAAACGUUAACAUCUUGAAAAUAUAAAAUCAAUGUAUUACAUUAUGGUUGGGGAAAAACAAAUUAUGGAAAAUUUUAAGACAGUUGAAUUAAGCACACCUCUAAGCAAAUCCUGAUGACUAUUAUGAAUAUUAUAUAUGUUUAAUUAAGAUUGUUAAGGUCAUCGGCAAAUCCGUAGUUAUCAAAAGUCAAUUAAGACCAAUAGUUUCUAUAUUGAUUAAUGAACUUAUGAGUAUAUAUUUAUAUAUAUGCAAUUUUUUGAAAGUAAUUUCAUUUAUAUAUAUAUAUAUGUGUGUGUGUGUGUUUCAGGAGUAAUAACAUGAAGAAAAUAGAAAAAGUUGAUGACAUUAUUAUAAAAAAAAAAAAAAGAAAACAGGCAAGAUCGAUGGGCAGUAAUUAGGUCAUGACUGAUGAAAUUUUAGUUUUAGGCAUCAGGAUUUGCCACAAGAUAGGCUUCAACAGCCUUGAUAAAUCCAUCGGUCAUAUCCUCAGCCUCCUUGAUUUUGCUGGGAUCGACCUCAGCGUUGCCCUUAGGGUAGUACUUGUUGGUGGCCUUGUAGAUGGACCCUCCGCCAGGAGUAGCUACUACUUCUGCCUCAUAUGUAACUUUCUCUACUGUCUGUACCCAUGGUUCACCUUCAAAUGCAGUGUAGAUGAAUUUCAAAUUCCCUUCAUCUACUGCAUCUACCUUCACCUUUAAAUACACCCCAAACCCUGGAACAAUGAAUGUUUUAGUAUUUAGGGAUCAUAAUGUAAAAUCAAAUGUUCAAACUAAUUCUUUUUAAUCAACAACUAUUGCAAGACACCCGAAUAAAAUAAGUAAGCAAACAAACCUUCUUUGGAGAAUUUUAGGGGCAUAGACAUGAGCUACAAGGAGAAAGGCCUUGUACAGCUUGGCUGGGGGGACUGCAGUAGCAAUCUCAGUCUGAGUAGAAAGAAUAGCCAUGGUAAUCCUUAAUUUGAAACAAAGUAAAAAUAUAGAAGAAGGUAUUAGGAAAUGUAUACUUGGUGUUUGUGUCGAAAAAUGCAAGAGCUAAGGGAGGUAUUUAUACACAGAUAACAAAGGAUUGGCAUUCACUCGCACUUGAGUCAAAAUGUGCAGGUUUGUAAUAUAAACGUAAAUGCUAUCUUGAUUUGUUUUUGUUUAGCAUUUUUAUAUUGCAGAUCUUUUGGCGCAGGUUGUUUCCAUUGACCAAGUGUAAUGGCGCUAGACAUAAAAUAAUCAAUUGAGGAUCAUGAUGUUAUUAAUUAUAAUUAUUGGUCCAUACCUUCUAGAUAUAUAUAAAUUAAGGUUCUUUAAUUAUUAAUAAUAUUGAUCAAUUACCUUCUAGAUGGUCCAUUUUGACGGUGCUAUAUUAUAACAUAUUGUUACCUUUAUACACUUGGUUUGGAAUGGGUGAAAGAAAGUUUAUCCUCUCCCUUUUGUUAAAAAAUAAUAAUAAAAAGAUAAUAUUAGAUAUGAAUAUUAUAAAUAUAUAUUUUUGCAUGAAUAAUAUAAAAAAUUAAAUCUAAAGAGAGAGAGGGGUGAUUGUGUUUGUUGCAUAUGUAAGAUGUUAAAGAGAAGCCAGUAUUAUAGACCAUGGAACUUGCAACAUAAGAAAUUCCAAUGCCAGAGUACAAUUAAUUAUGAAUUAAUUUAUACUGAAAGCCGCCUAAUUAAUUUAUUAUAUUGUAAUAAUCACACAACUUCUAUUGAUAUAAUUAAUGAUUUACAUAAUUUUAUUGUAUUCUAACAAAUAAUAUAAUGUUUCUAUCAAUCAGGUGUGUUUGUUUCGACUAUAAAUGUUUUUAUCAAAUUAGUAAAUCAGAAGAAAACUACUGUAUUCUAUAAUCCAUAAUAUUAUUUCGGCAUCGUGUAACGAAUAAAAAAAAUUAUAAGAGAGCUUCUGUUGAUAGGAUCAAUUUUAAAAUUAAAAUAAAUAAAUAAAUUUUGGAGUACUUCAGACAGCGCACAUUUCAUACGAGGAUUUCAUGGAGAAGCCCAAUUUCGUCGCUCCUAAGCAACGUGGGACGCAUUAAGUAGGUAUCUUCAUUUUUUAAAAAAUUAAUAACAAAAAUAAGAUUUUAAAUGCCUUUGACUAUCAAAUCACAUCUAGUUAUUCACAUUUGUAGAUUUAAAAAAUAUAUAUUUUUUAAUUUAUGGAAGGGCUAUAUAAUAAGGGUAGUCGUCUUUAAAAACUACCUGUAGUAAAGAGGAUUUGAAAUUAAAAUCUCCCACUCUUUACAUAAGUGAUAAAACAAAUCAGACCAUUACUUGAUUGGCUGUAAAUUUAAAAAUAUGGCACUUGAGAAAUGUGUAAUUAAAAUAAUUAAAAAUCUUAUUUUUUAUUUAAUGAAUAAUAAUUUGACUAUAUUAUUAAUCAAAAAAUUACAACAAUUAGAAUUUAUCAAUCCUUAAAAUAAAAAAAAAAUAUGAAAAAAAACAUAAUUAAAAAUUAUAUUUCUUUGAAUUAAUUAUUAUUCUAUUGUUUUGAGAUUUUUUUUGUAAGUAACGUAAAUCUAUGUUAUUAAAUUAUUAAGUCUAAGCUAUGCGAAAUUAAUUGUACACAUUAAUGAAAUUUUUUGGCCACAUACGGUAAAUAUGUCAUCUUCAUGGGCGGAGGGAUGGGGCUGGGGAGGCCGGGCCCCUCUAAACUCUAGAAUUUUUCCUAUUUUUGCUUUAUAAUUUAAUAAAAAAAAUAUUUUUCUUUAUUUUGGUCCCUCGACUUUUAAAAUUUUUAUUUUAACCUCUCUAAAUUCUAAAAUCUAACUCCGUCCUGAUCAUCUUCUUUAUUAUGAUAAAUUUUUUUCAUAUUCAUGACUUUCAGUAAAACAGUAAGAAUUCAACUAAUGAUUAGAUGAGGAGGUUAGAAGUAGAAUUAUUUACUUGAAUAUAAUAAGUGUUCCUUUCGUUAAUAAGUUAAAUGCUAAAUUUUGCUUUUUCAUUUUUUCAUAAUUGGAUAUGUAAUUCGAUUUGAAAUUGAUUUUUAAGUCAAUUUAGAUCAUAAAAUUUGAAUUUAUAAUUAAUUUAUCCUUUUUUUUUUUUUCAAAAAGUAGUAAGAUAUUAAAUUUUUACUUUUGAAAUAAUAAAAAUUAACAAUCGAAGAUUAAAGAAAAAAAAAUGUAAAAUUAAAAGACAUUUUGUUUCUAUUCUUGUUUUCUUCUCCUCUUGGAUGAUAAGAUUGAGUUUCUGUCUAUUGUUAUUAUUAUUUUUAAAAUUUUGAAAGGAUAUUUAAAAAAGUAAUAUUAUAUAUACUAAAAAAAAAAGAAGUAAUAAUAUAUUACUUUUUUACCAAUAAUAAGAUACAUAGAGUCAAAACCUAAGUCUUAAAUUGAAGAUUUAAAUUCAACAUUUUCUCCAGUUACUUGGAUGAUAAGUGAUCUCAAAAAUUUAUAAGAGUAAGAAUACAAAUUUAAUUUUCAUAAUUACACUUUCGAGAGAAAUUAUAACCCUAAAUAAAAAAAAGAAUAAAUCUUAACAUAUAGUCAAAGUAUCAACUGUCUAGCAUUUGCGUCGACAGUGACAUAUAUAGAUACAUGGGCGAAACCCCAAAAUUAUUAGAUUAAACACAACAUUAAUCAAGAACAAGAAAAUAUUAGUAGAAAUAGAAUGUUUAUUGCAAGUCAAGGCAUUUUACAUUUUCACUCUCCAAAAUCCAAAAACAAAUACAAAUGCUAAAAGCCAUCCAUUCAACCCAAUACUGCACACACAAACUUUAUUAUCAUGCCAAAAACACUCGUAGAAAAGAGAAAAAGAAACAAGCAAGAUCGAUGGGCAGUAAUUGGGACACGGCUUAUGAAAUUUUAGUUUCAGGCAUCAGGAUUUGCCACAAGAUAGGCUUCAACAGCCUUGACAAGUCCUUCGGUCUUCUCUUCAGCAUCCUUGAUUUUGCUGAUAUCGAUCUCAGCGUUGCCCUUAGGGUAGUACUUGUUGGUGGCCUUGUAGAUGGAUCCUCCGCCAGGAGCAGCUACUACUUGUGUCUCAUACGUAGCUUUUUCUACCGUAUCUACCCACGGCUCACCUUCAAACGCAGUGUAGACGAAUUUCAAGUUGGCUUCAUCUACUGCAUCUACCUUGACCUUUAAGUAGACUCCAAACCCUGCAUGUCGAAAAAAAAAAAAUCAAAUAUUCAAAUUCUGAUCAACUAAUUCUUUUUAUAUCAACAGUUAUAUUGCAAUGCACCCAAAUAAACAAACAAACAGACAAACCUUCUACAAAGUUGGUUUUCUUAAUAGUUCCAGCACCUCCAUCUCCCUGAAGAAUAUCGAUGCUUUUGAUGAACUGGUGGAGAAUUUUAGGGGCAUAGACAUGAGCUUCAAAGAGUAAAGCCUUGAACAACUUGGCUGGGGGAACUGCAGUAGCAAUCUCAGUCUGAGUAGUAACAACAGCCAUGAUCUUUGAAGAAUAUAAAAAUAACGAGUAAGGUAAUGUAUGUUUGGUGGGUGUGGGGAAAUGCAAGAGCUAAGGAAGGUAUUUAUAGAUGGAGACAUCAAAGAAUUCGCACUCGCUGGCACUUAAAAGUCAAAUUUGCUGGCUAUAACUGUAGAUGCAAAUUCUAUCUUGAUUUGUUC